GCCCUUUUAGCUCUGUUGUCGAGCGCUCGCUUCGCAAGCGAGGGGUCAGUGGAUCGAUCCCACUCGGGCGCA
Molecule: transfer RNA, 72 nt
Filed under: Phytophthora infestans (potato late blight agent)
Lineage: Eukaryota; Oomycota; Peronosporomycetes; Peronosporales; Peronosporaceae
Also listed under: 1 other name
Description: tRNA-Ala
Rfam family: tRNA
About the family: Transfer RNA (tRNA) molecules are approximately 80 nucleotides in length. Their secondary structure includes four short double-helical elements and three loops (D, anti-codon, and T loops).
Source: RNAcentral